Long non-coding RNA from Homo sapiens (human), 3392 nucleotides. RefSeq lists it as uncharacterized. The transcript has 2 exons. Lineage: Eukaryota; Metazoa; Chordata; Mammalia; Primates; Hominidae. The record is from RefSeq and is a predicted model, not a curated record.
CCCUCUGCUGGGAUGGCCUGGCCUGAAACUGCCCUCCCGUGGGCCUAGGUGUGGGCUGCUGUGGCCAUGGGGUCCUUGGCCAAGCUCUCCAGCAGGGUAGGGUGGGAAGGACGUUUGCCUCCAUGCCACAGGCCCCAGGAGGUUCCAGAGCCCCCUGUUCCUCUGCUUGCUUCGAGUUUUCAUGCUAGCAGCCAUUGCAGCCCGGCCCAGCACAGGGAGAGGUGAGGGGCACACUGGGCUUGCAGGGACAGACCACUCACUGCAAGCUGCCCACACAGAAGGUGUGCUGACCCUUCUCCCAGCAUGAGGAAUUGGAAGAACUGCUCUCUAAUCUGCCUUGUUCCUGAUUUUCAAAAAGGCUGUGGAGGCAGCACCAUCUCAGUCCUUUGUCCUGCAGUGGUCCUGAGGCUGGCAGGAGUGUUACCCUGCCCCCAGCACUAUGGGUAACGGGCGUUCUGGCCGUUCAGUGAGUGUUGCUGUGGCCAGUGUCAGCCCAGGUGCCCUGCAGUGCGGGUCGCAAUCAGGUCUCAUGGCAUCAGAGAGGCUCAGUGAUCUUUGCACGUUCACAAGGCUGUUCACACGGUGCAAGGCUGGGGUUUGACCCCAGAUCUGUCUGACUCCAAAGUUGGAUCUUCCAGGAAUUUAGGACUUCUGACCUCACCAGUGAUUCCUGAGCACCUGACCCCAAAGAAUUUAGGAAAGGCUACCCUCUGCUGUUUGCCCGAAGUCCAGAGAGCCAGCGGCUACUUCCCUAAACUCAAGAGCCCUCUGCCAGGGAGCCUGCUGUUCUGAGGAUGCAUGUGUGCUGCUCUUCUGGGGGGCUUUGCUGGUCUCUUCCUCCCUGUCCUGGGCUGGCCUCUCCAACGAACCAGCCUCCACUCCAGUGGCAGUGCUCGUGUCCCUCGGGGGGCUGCCCCAGAACCCAGAUGGCCUGUCUGUCUGUCUGUCUUUUGUGUCAGGGUCCUCUGAGGAGCCAGCAGUGUGCUGAGGAUUAGACAGAGCACAGGCGUGGGCAGGACCUGGAGGGAACAUCGCCAUCCCUCAGGAUGUUGACACAUGUCCCCUGGGAACAUAUCAGGCUUUGGGAACAGAUUUCAACAGAGCCUCAGUGCCUGGCUGAGAAUAUUAUGAGAUGUUCUGUGCAAGAGACGGCUUUCUUCUAAGCUUCAGAAUCCUGGGGCUUCUUCCGUGCAUGGCUUUGCUCUGGGGGCCUCGGCAGCCCAUGCAAUGGAGGGGAUUUGGCAUUUGCAGACUGAGUGUCCUCUCAGGGGCAAGGCCAGCAGCCGUGAUGGCAGAAGGACCCAUCCAGAAGUCACUGUCUUGGAUUAUCACUUGUUGACCUCAGCCUUAAUCUCCUCAUCUGUAAAACGGGAAGGGGUCAGCCUAGAGACACUGCAGGGCCCUUCCCUUCACCUCUGAGGUCUGCAGUCACCUCCUCCUUCCCUCAGCACAUGGCUGCUAGUCAGGAAUCUGCCAGGACUGACGAUUUCCAAAAAUAGAAAAGAGAAAUGCGGUCAGCACCACCUUUUCCACUGGGACAUCAGCCCCUCCUGGACGCCCGCAGGCUGGCCUGACAGAGCCAGCUCUGUUCCCAGUCUAGGGUAUUAGUUAAGAGCACAGACUCUGACGGGACUGCCUGGGGUCCGGCCCAAGCUAAGGCGAGUCGCGUCGCCUCUCUGAGCCUUGGUUUCUUCUUCCUGCCCCAGAAGGAUUCCGGAGUCCAGGGAGUUCCUGGGUGAGAAGCACCCACCGCAGUUGCCAGGUGUGCAGUAUGGGCACGGUCUCGGCAGCCGGGUGCCGAGGCCCACUGGGGACCCAUGAACGCCUUCCCAGUUCCUCUGUCACCUCCUUGCUUUCCAGAACGUCAUCAGAUCACUUGCUUUGAGGGCCCCAGGCAUCUUGUCCUAGGAUGGCUAUUUGGUUUUGGAUAACCAGACAACUUCGGAAGGAUUUCUGAGAUUCUGCAACCAGGCCGAGAGCACUUUUGUAAAUGGCGUGCCAUGGGGCGUGUGGCAGUGCAGCAGCCAAGCUCCCUUGCUGCUGGGCCUGUGCUGUCAGCCUGAGGCAGCAGCUCCUCCCGUCGUCGGCACCACAAUCUCACAGCGAGAUGUUUUUAUUACCCCAUUUACUGGGGCAAGAAAACAAGGCCCAGAAGGGUUCUGUUAUGGCUUAGGGUACACAGUGGAGAGUGGGCAGCUCCAAGGUAUCCACCAGGGUCUCUCUGACUCAGUGAGGGCCUUGGGCUGCAGGAUGAGUGGCUGAGCUGCCCCACUAGGCUUAGCCUCUGGCCCCCACUGGCAAGAGUGACCCAGGAGGCUCAGAAAAGCUAAGUGGCUGGGCGCGGUGGCUCAUACCUUUAAUCCCAACACUUUGGGAGGCCAAGGCGGGCAGAUCGCUUGAGCCCAGGAGUUUGAGACCAGCCUGGGAAACGUAGUGAGAUCUUUAAUCCCUACCAAAACAAAAUACAAAAAUUAGCAGGGCGUAGUGUUGCUUGCCUGUAGUUGCGGCUACUCAGGAGGCUGAGGUGGUAGGUUCAUUUGAGCCCGGAAGGUCGAGGCUGCGGUGAGUUGUGAUCUCGCCAUUGCACUGUAGCCUGGGCAACAGAGCAAGGCCCUGUCUCAAAAGAAAAAAAAAAAAAGAAAGAAAAGUGCUAAGGGAUGAGUGUCUCUUACAGCCAGGCCACUCCUGCCCCCUAGAAAGUAUUUCUUCCAGAUACGACACCAAGGCCUUGAGGCUGUGAGCAGGGGGGCCCUGUGUGUCCUGCAAAGCCGGGGUGGGAGAUGCGCUGGUGUAGGCCUCAGAGCGUGGGUGAUAUCCAGGCGUGGGUCCCUCAGAGCGUGGGUGAUAUCCGGGUGUGGGUCCCUCGGAGCGUGGGCGGCGCCCGGACUUGGAGCGUGGGUGGUGCCCGGGCAUGGGUCCCUCGGAGCGUGGGCGGCGCCCGGGCGUGGGUCCCUGCUCAGCGCUUCCCUCCCUGGAAGUUCCCAGUGGUUACUUCAGCCUCCUGUGCUUGGGUAAGGGCCAUUUUUCUUGGUGACCAGGGCUCUGUCCCCAGCCCUGUCGAUCUGCUUUCACUUUUUUUUUUUUAAUUCAGGUGCACCUGGCACAGCGGCUCACACCUGUAAUCCCAGCAUUUUGGGAGGCCAAGGAGGGAGGAUUACUUGAGGCCAGGAGUUUGAGACCAGCCUGGGAAAGAUAGUGAGACCCUGUCCCUACAAAAAACAAAUAAAAUUAGCCAGGCAUGGUGGCACACGCCUGUAGUCCCAGCUACCCCAGAGGCUGAGGCCCAGGAGUUCAAGGCUGCAGUGAGCCGUGAUUGCACCACUACACUCCAGCCUGGGUGACAGAGUGAAACAUUGUCUCUAAAUAAAAUAAAAUUGAGGUAAAUUCACAUA